RNAcentral lists this ribosomal RNA (433 nucleotides) under uncultured bacterium. RNAcentral describes it as "partial 16S ribosomal RNA". It matches the Rfam family "Bacterial small subunit ribosomal RNA", at positions 29 to 507 of the family's 1533-position model. The record is from RNAcentral.
AACGAACGCUGGCGGCAUGCCUAACACAUGCAAGUCGAACGAGACCUUCGGGUCUAGUGGCGCACGGGUGCGUAACGCGUGGGAACCUGCCCUUAGGUUCGGAAUAACUCCCCGAAAGGGGUGCUAAUCCCGGAUAAUGUCUUCGGACCAAAGAUUUAUCGCCUUUGGAUGGGCCCGCGUUGGAUUAGCUAGUUGGUAGGGUAAAAGCCUACCAAGGCGACGAUCCAUAGCUGGUCUGGGAGGAUGAUCAGCCACACUGGGACUGAGACACGGCCCAGACACCUACGGGAGGCAGCGGUGGGGAGUAUUGGACAAUGGGCGAAAGCGUGAUCCAGCAAUGCCGCGUGAGUGAAGAAGGCCUUAGGGUUGUAAAGCUCUUUUACCCGGGAUGAUAAUGACAGUACCGGGAGAAUAAGCUCCGGCUAACUCCGUG